Molecule: non-coding RNA, 194 nt
Organism: Oryza barthii
Lineage: Eukaryota; Viridiplantae; Streptophyta; Magnoliopsida; Poales; Poaceae
Source: Rfam
AAAAAAGCAAACCUUGGGUUUCCGUGUCCAAUUUUUACUGUCCGUCUUAUAUGAAAUUUUUUUAUAAUUCAUAUUUUUAUUAUUGUUAGAUGAUAAAACAUGAUUAAUACUUUGUGCGUGACUUGUCUUUUAAUUUUUUUUCAAAUAAGACAGACGGCCAAACGUUGGGUACGGAAAUCAGGGUUUGUCUUUUU